RNAcentral lists this long non-coding RNA (1000 nucleotides) under Gallus gallus (chicken). Its description in RNAcentral is "long non-coding RNA NONGGAT003984". The record is from RNAcentral. Lineage: Eukaryota; Metazoa; Chordata; Aves; Galliformes; Phasianidae.
AACCCAGGGAACGCCGUGCUGGCGGCGGGCUGAGGCAAGGAGCCGGGGGUUUCGGCUGUCGGACUCCGCUGCCUGCCGUGGGUUGGGCCGGCGCCUCGCCAGGCCCAGGCCUAUCUGCCGGCAUUCGAGCGAGAAGCAAACAGAACGCUCGCUCCGCGCCCAAAAACGAGCCCCACUCCCCGCCGGGUGGGCUCGCAGCACAGGCGCCCGGUCAGGGAAUGGCAGGCAACCCGCGGCAGCCUCCCCUCCUCCGCUCCUUACAAGGACUCCAGGUGCUGGAGCUUCUGGAGCUGCUGCGCCUCCUCUUUCUUCCUCUUCCUCUCAUGCCGGCCCUGGCUCCUGCCGCCGCCGGCCGCGGACUCGUGGAGGCUCCCGUGCCGCGCCUGGCUGCCCCUCGCCGCUCCCUCCUCCCCCUCCUCCCGUCCCCCUCUCAGCCCGUGGGACAUUAGCGCGGCGAGCAGGAAGACAACGAGACCGCAGGAACACCUCCUUCCCCGCCCUCCCCGCUGCGCAUUUCGGUUUCACUUCCCGGGCCGGGCGGGGCGCUCCGGCCAAGCGCCGCCUUCCUCCGGCGACACUGCGAGCGCGGCCGGGCCCCGGCACGGCCUACGUCGAUUAGUCAAACUUUGGAACAGCUUUCCAGAGCCUUUGGAUGGUAACAGAAAAGAUAAUUAAUUCCAAGAUGGAGUGUUUCCCAUUUAUGAAUGGUAUUGUUGAGAAGGGAUGCGUGCAAUAAGAAAAAAAAGAAAGGAGAUCUCAGGAAACCAUACCAGUCUCACUUUCAUUUACUCUUUACUGCCCUAGCUUGGCUGAAAUGAACAGAGUUCUGCCAGUCUGGAGCAGUGCUUCAGAUAUUUCAAGAAGUUAAUUCUGGGGGAACUGUUCUCAUAUUGCAACUCCUGACUGUCAGAGCACUCUAAUUCCAGCCUCAAAGCAUCUAAGCAGACACUCUGCAAUUGCUACUGCAGUUUAAACCAUCUGAAGAGCUGGUAUGUUUCAC